RNA transcript from Aphidius gifuensis, 903 nucleotides. It is a transcript of the gene named DNA-directed RNA polymerase III subunit RPC8, with no coding region annotated. Lineage: Eukaryota; Metazoa; Arthropoda; Insecta; Hymenoptera; Braconidae. The transcript is spliced from 6 exons. The record is from RefSeq and is a predicted model, not a curated record.
AAAAACAAUAGUAAUAAAAAACACGUGUUUUUAUUACUCUACGUAAAAAAAUUACGUAUGAAUUUUUUAAUCUAAUUAAUAUAAUUUAAUUAAUCAAAAGUAAAAAAUAUUUUAUUUAAAAAAAAAUCAGCCAUGUUUGUUUUGACAGAAUUUAAAGAUGUUGUUAAAAUACCACCCUCAAAAUUUAAUUUAAAUAUUAAAGAUGCAAUUACUGAUGAAUUAAACAGAAAACUUUCAAACAAGGUAUUUAUAAAUGUUGGUUUAUGUAUUGCUCUAUAUGACAUUCUUGAUAUAAAAGAUUCAUAUAUAUUUCCUGGUGAUGAUGGUGCAUCACAUACAGUUGUUAUUUUUCGUUUUGUUGUGUUUCGUCCAUUUGUUGAAGAAAUAAUUGUUGGAAAAAUUCGUAAUUGCAGUCUUGAAGGUGUACAAGUUUCACUUGAAUAUUUUGAUGACAUAUUAAUUCCACCAAACAAACUUCAACAAAAGUCAAGAUUUGAUCAAAUGGAACAAGUUUGGAUUUGGGAAUAUGUUGAUGUUGAAUCUGGAGCAAAAACUGAUCUAUUUUUAGAUAAAGAUGAAUUGAUUCGAUUCAGAGUUGUUCAAGAAGUAUUUGUCGAAGAUGUACCAACAAAACCAGCAAUUUCUGCUGAUGGUAUUGAAGUACCAGAAACAAGUUUUACUCCAUAUUCACUCAUUGGAGGUAUUGAUGAGCCUGGUUUGGGUGUUUUAUCAUGGUGGGGUUAAAUUAUAAACAAAAAUAAUUUGGAAAUAAUUAUUUAUUGAUAUCAUCCUCAAAGCUUUGUCCUAACUGGCGUGCCAUGUGUUUUACAAACACGUCUGCUUGGAGACGAGGAAUACUUGGAGAAUAAAUAUUUUAAUACAUUAAAAAUCCCAAGAACUCCA